RNAcentral lists this ribosomal RNA (465 nucleotides) under Vreelandella stevensii. Its description in RNAcentral is "partial 16S ribosomal RNA". It matches the Rfam family "Bacterial small subunit ribosomal RNA", at positions 338 to 795 of the family's 1533-position model. The record is from RNAcentral. Lineage: Bacteria; Pseudomonadati; Pseudomonadota; Gammaproteobacteria; Oceanospirillales; Halomonadaceae.
CCUACGGGAGGCUGCAGUGGGGAAUAUUGGACAAUGGGGGCAACCCUGAUCCAGCCAUGCCGCGUGUGUGAAGAAGGCCCUCGGGUUGUAAAGCACUUUCAGUGAGGAAGAACGCCUGGUGGUUAAUACCCAUCAGGAAAGACAUCACUCACAGAAGAAGCACCGGCUAACUCCGUGCCAGCAGCCGCGGUAAUACGGAGGGUGCGAGCGUUAAUCGGAAUUACUGGGCGUAAAGCGCGCGUAGGUGGCUUGAUAAGCCGGUUGUGAAAGCCCCGGGCUCAACCUGGGAACGGCAUCCGGAACUGUCAAGCUAGAGUGCAGGAGAGGAAGGUAGAAUUCCAGGUGUAGCGGUGAAAUGCGUAGAGAUCGGGAGGAAUACCAGUGGCGAAGGCGGCCUUCUGGACUGACACUGACCCUGAGGUGCGAAAGCGUGGGUAGCAAACAGGAUUAGAUACCCCGGUAGUC